CGAAGGUCUGGCCUGGCCAUAGGAUGAACAGUGUCACCCUGGGCAGAGGGGAACUUGGAUGGAAAGUGAUGAUCCAGGCAGAGGGCCGAAGAGAGAAAGACACUGCUUGGUCUGCGAGCACGGAAAACAGACGCAAACCCUGGAUCGGCCUAACUCAGUCCGCCCCGCUGGCCACAUCGCGCCUGUGGGGUCACAGCGGACGCAGUUGAAAGGGCAGGGUCCUGGCGUGUGGAUGCAGGCGGGGUGCAGGGAAGACUAAAGGCGGGCCAGAGAGGACGUGAUGUUUCUCUCCAUCUCCUCCCGGCUUUCCGGGCUACACUGUUGCCACACAGUGAGGUUCCUCAACCGCGGAUUGAAAGGUUAGUAUCUUAUUUUUAAAGAUGAUGCAACCGUGAUGAGGGAAGUGGGUUAAUUUAGUUAAUAGCUGACACUUAGGAGUUCCUCCUC
This 447-nucleotide long non-coding RNA is filed under the name Chinchilla lanigera (long-tailed chinchilla). Its description in RNAcentral is "lncRNA (ENSCLAG00000026785.1)". Lineage: Eukaryota; Metazoa; Chordata; Mammalia; Rodentia; Chinchillidae. The record is from RNAcentral.